GACAGAGGGUGCAAACGUUGUUCGGAUUUACUGGGCGUAAAGCGCGUGUAGGCGGUUGUCCAAGUUGGAUGUGAAAGCCUUGAGCUUAACUCAAGAAAUGCAUUCAGGACUGGAUGACUAGAGGACCGGAGAGGAUAGUGGAAUUCCCAGUGUAGUGGUGAAAUACGUAGAGAUUGGGAAGAACACCAGUGGCGAAGGCGGCUAUCUGGACGGUUUCUGACGCUAAGACGCGAAAGCGUGGGGAGCAAACAGG
This 253-nucleotide ribosomal RNA is filed under the name uncultured bacterium. RNAcentral's name for it is "partial 16S ribosomal RNA". It matches the Rfam family "Bacterial small subunit ribosomal RNA", at positions 524 to 776 of the family's 1533-position model. The record is from RNAcentral.